GACGAACGCUGGCGGCGUGCCUAAUACAUGCAAGUAGGACGCAGUUGCGAACGGGUGAGUAACACGUAGGUAAAUACAUAUUAGAGGGGGAUAACUAUUGGGAACGCACGCUAAUACCGCACACUAGCAGAUGGACCUGCGUUGUAUUAGCUAGUAGGUGGGGUAAGGGCCUACCUAGGCAACGAUACAUAGCCGACCUGGUAGGGGUAUCGGCAAAACUGGGACUUGGACACUGCCCAGACUCCGGCGGGAGGCAGCAGUAGGGAAUCUUCGGCAAUGGGUGAAAGCCUGACCGAGCAACGCCGCGUGAGUGAAGAAGGUUUUCGGAUCGUAAAGCUCUGUUGUAAGAGAAGCGGUAUCUUACCAGAAAGCCACGGCUAACUACGUGCCAGCCGCCGCGGUAAUAC
This 407-nucleotide ribosomal RNA is filed under the name uncultured bacterium. RNAcentral's name for it is "partial 16S ribosomal RNA". It matches the Rfam family "Bacterial small subunit ribosomal RNA", at positions 28 to 526 of the family's 1533-position model. The record is from RNAcentral.